AAAUCCAUUAUGACUGAAUGACUAACUCAAAGAUUCAAGAAAUUAUUAUUUAGUUCGUAAAUUACUCAAAACUCUUAAUACUUGAAAUUCCUCAGCUUGUUACAAUCUUCAAUUAAUUGUUUAAUAAGACAAAGAAGAUGAACUCCAAUCAGUAAAGUUUCCUUCUCAUGUAUAAUCUGGUUGAUUCAGCUCUUUUAGAAGGAAGGCAAAACUAAUUUAGGAUGCUGCCCUUAAAUGCUCAGGCCCACUCACGUAGUCUCCCUAGUUCUGACGUCUUAACAUCAGUGGGGAACACUUGAGAAGAUUAGAUGGCAGAAGAGAGAAGGCAGUGGGCCUUGAGAGCAGCAGCUAAGGAGCCUCUCUUGCUCUCUUGAAGAGAGAAGUGUCACCUGGAAAGAGAAACAGGGAGCUGGUAGUCUCAGCGUUUUCCAGAGGAUACCGACUUUUGAGGCAAUGGCCCAGAGUGGCCACAUGUGUCUUGAAUAAUCGAAAUAACCUUUGCCUUUCACCGGGAGCCUCUUAAAGAUCAGAGAAACCAAGGAAGUAAUUUCAAGAUAUAAGAGGAAGUCAACAGGAUCACAUAUACUAAAAGAUGUCAAGGAAAUAAAGAGAGAAAAACUUCCAUUGGAUUUGUGCGGGAGCCUUGAACAAACACGUGUGCUACACGACACACCAGUUCUGGAGCUCCUUCUUGUGUUCUUCCCAAUAACCCCGCCCUGUGUGAAUAUGAAGCAUCAUAUACCUAUAAGAUAAUAUGGAUAAUAUUCCUGGAAGAAGCUAAAAUAGCAGAAAGCAGGUCACCCAGCUCCUGAGCAUCUGUUGGAAGAGGUCAUUGAGAGGACGUGGUUGACCUGUGAGCUUGUCCUGUCAAUCGGAGGCUCCUCAGCUCCCCCUCUGUCCUUGGAAUGUGCAUUCCACUCACCAUUCCCUCACUAGGAGCUGUUUCAAGGAUGCACCUUUGAUCAAGAGAGCAAUAUGUUAUUGAGGCCAUCUGAAUGGUAUAUGUGACUGAGCCCAGGUAAGGCCUCUAGACAAACUUUAAGAUUCUGGAGAGCGGGUCCAGAGAUCUACUCAUUUUGUGGCAACUAGGGCAAGCCUCCUAAGUCAAGUUCCUUUGCUUAUUAAACCUGCCAUCUACCAAUCUGGAGUGGCUGUCUCUUUCUUCAGUCUCUCCUCACCCUCCGUGUAAAGGGGCCAGUUUCAGAUUAGACCUGGGAAGCACCCAAAUUUGUGAACCAGUGCAAAAUUGCUUCUCCCGAAUUGCCAAGCUGAAUUGGGCUCUGGUAUGAAGCCAUCAGCCUAUAUUGAGAAUUGAAGUUGUCAUUAUGUUUAUUAUAUGGCUAUUGUGAAGAAUACCGUUCACUUCAUCAUAUAACGGCCUUUUUAUCAGGAACCCCAGAAGAAAUUACUGUCUGAUCUUACCACCAAGAUGAAUUGUUCUUCUUCUGAGUAAUUCGUUUAUUUCAUUUCUUUUAAACUGUGACUUAUAUAACUGAUAAUUACAUCUUCCCAAAAACGAUUGAAUUGUUUUCUUGCAAAAUAUUUUUUUGUUACUGUGGGCAAAGUGCAAUGAUGAGUCCUGGAGAUUUUCAGUGGGC
Long non-coding RNA from Equus caballus (horse), 1598 nucleotides. Lineage: Eukaryota; Metazoa; Chordata; Mammalia; Perissodactyla; Equidae. The record is from Ensembl.